This 253-nucleotide ribosomal RNA is filed under the name uncultured bacterium. RNAcentral's name for it is "partial 16S ribosomal RNA". It matches the Rfam family "Bacterial small subunit ribosomal RNA", at positions 524 to 776 of the family's 1533-position model. The record is from RNAcentral.
UACGUAGGUGGCAAGCGUUGUCCGGAUUUAUUGGGCGUACAGGGCGCGCAGGCGGUUCGCUACGUCCGAGGUGAAAUCUCCCGGCUCAACUGGGAGAGGUCUUCGGAUACUGGCGGGCUUGAGGAGAGCAGAGGUGAGCGGAAUUCUGGGUGUAGUGGUGAAAUGCGUAGAUAUCCAGAGGAACACCAGUGGCGAAGGCGGCUCACUGGGCUCCACCUGACGCUGAGGCGCGAAAGCGUGGGGAGCGAACCGG